GACGAACGCUGGCGGCGUGCCUAAUACAUGCAAGUCGAACGCGCUCUCGUUUAGAUUGAAGGAGCUUGCUCCUGAUUGAUAAACAUUUGAGUGAGUGGCGGACGGGUGAGUAACACGUGGGUAACCUGCCCUAAAGUGGGGGAUAACAUUUGGAAACAGAUGCUAAUACCGCAUAAAACCUAAACACCGCAUGGUGUAGGGUUGAAAGAUGGUUUCGGCUAUCACUUUAGGAUGGACCCGCGGUGCAUUAGUUAGUUGGUGAGGUAAAGGCUCACCAAGACCGUGAUGCAUAGCCGACCUGAGAGGGUAAUCGGCCACACUGGGACUGAGACACGGCCCAGACUCCUACGGGA
Molecule: ribosomal RNA, 353 nt
Filed under: uncultured bacterium
Lineage: Bacteria
Description: bacterial SSU rRNA
Rfam family: Bacterial small subunit ribosomal RNA
Source: RNAcentral